This 253-nucleotide ribosomal RNA is filed under the name uncultured bacterium. RNAcentral describes it as "partial 16S ribosomal RNA". It matches the Rfam family "Bacterial small subunit ribosomal RNA", at positions 524 to 776 of the family's 1533-position model. The record is from RNAcentral.
UACGAAGGGGGCUAGCGUUGCUCGGAAUCACUGGGCGUAAAGGGUGCGUAGGCGGGUCUUUAAGUCAGGGGUGAAAUCCUGGAGCUCAACUCCAGAACUGCCUUUGAUACUGAGGAUCUUGAGUACGGGAGAGGUGAGUGGAACUGCGAGUGUAGAGGUGAAAUUCGUAGAUAUUCGCAAGAACACCAGUGGCGAAGGCGGCUCACUGGCCCGUAACUAACGCUGAGGCACGAAAGCGUGGGGAGCAAACAGG